RNAcentral lists this ribosomal RNA (552 nucleotides) under Rhodotorula sp. RNAcentral's name for it is "eukaryotic LSU rRNA". It matches the Rfam family "Eukaryotic large subunit ribosomal RNA", at positions 84 to 652 of the family's 3401-position model. Lineage: Eukaryota; Fungi; Basidiomycota; Microbotryomycetes; Sporidiobolales; Sporidiobolaceae. The record is from RNAcentral.
UAGCGGCGAGCGAAGCGGGAAGAGCUCAAAUUUAUAAUCUGGCACCUUCGGUGUCCGAGUUGUAAUCUCUAGAAAUGUUUUCCGCGUUGGACCGCACACAAGUCUGUUGGAAUACAGCGGCAUAGUGGUGAGACCCCCGUAUAUGGUGCGGACGCCCAGCGCUUUGUGAUACAUUUUCGAAGAGUCGAGUUGUUUGGGAAUGCAGCUCAAAUUGGGUGGUAAAUUCCAUCUAAAGCUAAAUAUUGGCGAGAGACCGAUAGCGAACAAGUACCGUGAGGGAAAGAUGAAAAGCACUUUGGAAAGAGAGUUAACAGUACGUGAAAUUGUUGGAAGGGAAACGCUUGAAGUCAGACUUGCUUGCCGAGCAAUCGGUUUGCAGGCCAGCAUCAGUUUUCCGGGAUGGAUAAUGGUAGAGAGAAGGUAGCAGUUUCGGCUGUGUUAUAGCUCUCUGCUGGAUACAUCUUGGGGGACUGAGGAACGCAGUGUGCCUUUGGCGGGGGUUUCGACCUCUUCACACUUAGGAUGCUGGUGGAAUGGCUUUAAACGACCCGU